Molecule: ribosomal RNA, 292 nt
Filed under: uncultured bacterium
Lineage: Bacteria
Description: partial 16S ribosomal RNA
Source: RNAcentral
GGACUACCGGGGUUUCUAAUCCUGUUUGCUCCCCACGCUUUCGUGCUUCAGUGUCAGUAUCUGUCCAGAAAGCCGCCUUCGCCACUGAUGUUCCUUCCGAUAUCUACGCAUUUCACCGCUACACCGGAAAUUCCGCCUUCCUCUACAGUACUCUAGCGAAACAGUAUUAAAUGCAAUCCCCAGGUUAAGCCCGGGACUUUCACAUCUAACUUAUUUCACCACCUACACACCCUUUACGCCCAGUAAUUCCGAUUAACGCUUGCACCCUCUGUAUUACCGCGGCGGCUGGCAC